Molecule: ribosomal RNA, 511 nt
Filed under: Limosilactobacillus oris
Lineage: Bacteria; Bacillati; Bacillota; Bacilli; Lactobacillales; Lactobacillaceae
Description: bacterial SSU rRNA
Rfam family: Bacterial small subunit ribosomal RNA
Source: RNAcentral
UACGUAGGUGGCAAGCGUUAUCCGGAUUUAUUGGGCGUAAAGCGAGCGCAGGCGGUUGUUUAGGUCUGAUGUGAAAGCCUUCGGCUUAACCGAAGAAGUGCAUCGGAAACCGGGCGACUUGAGUGCAGAAGAGGACAGUGGAACUCCAUGUGUAGCGGUGGAAUGCGUAGAUAUAUGGAAGAACACCAGUGGCGAAGGCGGCUGUCUGGUCUGCAACUGACGCUGAGGCUCGAAAGCAUGGGUAGCGAACAGGAUUAGAUACCCUGGUAGUCCAUGCCGUAAACGAUGAGUGCUAGGUGUUGGAGGGUUUCCGCCCUUCAGUGCCGAAGCUAACCGCAUUAAGCACUCCGCCUGGGGAGUACGACCGCAAGGUUGAAACUCAAAGGAAUUGACGGGGGCCCGCACAAGCGGUGGAGCAUGUGGUUUAAUUCGAAGCUACGCGAAGAACCUUACCAGGUCUUGACAUCUUGCGCCAACCUCAGAGAUGAGGCGUUCCCUUCGGGGACGCAAA